GGAGCUGAAAGAGCGUUUCAGACGGAGGGUGAAAAGAGGUAUUUUCACACAGACAGCAUGAGAAGAACAAUGUGUUUUUGAACAUUAAAGCACGUAAACAUGUUCUAGUAGAAACCGAAAAUACAAGUAUGAACCU
Molecule: long non-coding RNA, 136 nt
Organism: Sebastes umbrosus (honeycomb rockfish)
Lineage: Eukaryota; Metazoa; Chordata; Actinopteri; Perciformes; Sebastidae
Exons: 2
Source: RefSeq, a predicted model, not a curated record